RNAcentral lists this long non-coding RNA (5110 nucleotides) under Homo sapiens (human). RNAcentral's name for it is "HSALNT0301128". Lineage: Eukaryota; Metazoa; Chordata; Mammalia; Primates; Hominidae. The record is from RNAcentral.
GUCCACCAGCCUUCUGAGUCAGCCCUGCCUCUCCUGGGGCGCGCGACUUUUCUGUUCAUACUGACCCUUAGGAAUCCAGGAAGCCUUCUCUGUUUAACAGCCUGACCAGCCUUUGAUGUCUAUACCGACUACUCACCCCCACCACAGCUCGCUCUCUCUCACACUGUCUACACUGACUUCUCAGUCCCACCACCUCUCGGUCUACACAUGCUGUCUACACAGACCCUAACUUCUAACCCUAAUAGAAGAGAUUUGGCCAGAGGCGUGUGGGACCCCCAAUGAGGGCUUUUCCAUUAUGCUAGAAUAUUUCACUCUGGGCACAGUCUUCUCCACCCCGACCGCUCUCCUAAUCUGGUUUUUAUUCCCCGACCUCUCCCUCCUCCCCUACAUCCCCUUUACCUGGUUUUGAGUUUCAGAGGAAAUAUCUGUACCUGCCCUCCUCCUCCACCCCUGUCUGAAUGUAAAGGCCUGAGGGCCCAAUCCUCAUCCUCCACCCUCCCUCCGCUCCCCCGGGUAAAGGCCUGAGGCCUGAGGCCUUGCUAGAAAUUGGAGUUGGGGUGCUGUAGGUAGUGUGGGGAGCUGGCUGUGGGGGCCCAGCUGGGAGGAGCUGGCCUGGGGAGGGCUUUGCCAGUCCUUGCCUCCAUCUACCAGGGCCAAGGAGGACUGAGCCGGUAAAUAUUUUCUUCUCAGCUCCCCCCCUGUGAUGUCUGAUCCAGGCCUCUGCUCUCCUUGGCUGUAAACUCAGCGCACGGAUUGUGUCUUCUUUAAUAUUUUGUAGGAAGCAGAGUACAGUGUCGUGGCUGAUAAAUAAUAAAUAAUAAUAAUCUACUGAGGGUAGCAGGAGCACUGUCAGAAAUGGAAUGAGGACGCCGGGGAAAUGGCCCACUAGUGUCAGAAUAACUGCAUUUCCUGGAAAAAACAUCCAACAGAGUUUGUGUGUGUGAAGCCCGGGACUCAAGGGAGGGGACAGAGCGGAGCACUUCAGGGAGGAAGCCACCCUUCAUGAGGACGACAGCCAGGAAAACUGGCGUGACCUUAAGAGAGGGUGACAGAGGUGCCGAAAAGGGGAGCAGGAGUGGGGGGGAGGGGGAGAAAAGCUCCCCAAGGGUCCUCAGACAACACCUGAAGGUGAUCGAUAGCUUUGGUUUGAGUACUAUGUCCUUCAAAUGGUAUAUGAAAAGUGAUAGAAGAGUACUAGAUAGCAAAAUGGAAAAAAGAGGGAUUUCUUGGGAUUUCAAAUUGAUACACAGGUCAACCCAAUGCAAAAAGAAGGAGAACAAAGCCACAGGCGUGUGUCUGUUCAUCCACGCUGUAGGAAGCUGUCCUCUGAGAUAAUCUCCAUGGAUGCACUGACUGUGAACAUGCAGAAGUCCACCCAGCCGUAUUCUGGAGUAGCGCCCUAUGUGACAGCUGUAGGCACUACAGAAAUGUGGCCAAGGUUUGCAGGGUCUGGGAUAGGUUAAGAUCUGGCAAUGUGAGGCACUCACAGUGUCUUACAGAUGAUUUUGAAUGAUCCUCAGUUGAAAGAAGAAAAUAGGAACUCCAAGAAUCCUUAUUCAGCUACCUCUCCAGAUGAAGGAGAAAGGAUGCUCCCAAUUUCCCUGCUGGCAGCAUCAGAAAAGAGAGCUGUGCUGAGGUCUUAUCCAGAGGAGGACCUACUCGGGCCAUGGUGGUGCGAAGGGCGCUGGUUCUGGGGCACCGCAAACUCUUCAGGGCUGAAGUUUGGUAACAGCUCACCAGGGGAGCCAGCUUGUCAGGGAGAAUGAGAAAAGCUGUGUGAAUUAGACUCCCAGUGGGCUUGUCUACCCUGUCCUCACCCAUCCUCGUUUUAUCCAAGGCUUCCUCGUCAUUGAUGCUCUGCCCUGCUGGGAGCUGUUUAGUGUGGACACAGCCAUUUAUGAAGGGUCUGCGCUGGUCUGCAUAUGAGUUCCAUUUCAGAGUGCUGUUGUUCACAUGAUCUGUCCCAGCGCAUCUAGUGUCUUGGCAACAUAAACUGGAUUUGCAUUGUGUCAGGGGUCUCCUCUCUCUCUCUCUCUACGUAGAUCUUGCUGGUGUCUGGGAUCUUUUUUGGGUCAUUCUUUGCUCUACUCUGUGGCCCAUGGGAUGGGCCCCAUGACUGGCAUGGAUCUCUCUGUGUGGUUCAUGGGACUCGUGUGUUGUGCCCAGAAACCUCUUACACCAUGGUCAAAGAUUUCUCCAUGAAACACAGGAUUGACUUGGUGGUGUGUUCUCCAAAAGCCAACCCUCCCUGUCCUGAGCCCCAAUCUGGGCACUGGGAUCAGGACUAAUGUGUACACUCCAAGCAGAUGGGUAGUGAAGGAGCGGACUCAUAGUGCAUAGGGAAGUGGACUGGAACACUCCAGGACAUCCAUUCCCCGCUCAGAUCAUAGACCAUUAUCUGUGCAGUCAAUCAGACAAGGACUUGUACUGGAAAGGCCACCAUCACCCAAGGAGGAACCAGAGGAAGUCACAUCAGGAACACCUGGGGUGCCACAUAAACCCACAGUGGCCAAGGUGGACUUCUGUCCUUGUCUGUGUUUAUGAUAAUAGCCACAACAAAAGGACCUUUACCCAGUGGCUACUAUAUGUCAGGCACUGUACCAAGAACUCUACCCAUGAUAUCUUGUUAAUCCUCACAGCAACCUGUGGAAUUGGUGUUAUCAGCCCCCAAAACUGAGUUCCAGAGAGGGUAGAUGAGAACCUGCAAUCACACAGUAAGUGACAGUGCUGGAAUUUCAGCCUGAUUGUCCCAAAGCCUCUGUUCUUUUUACCCCACCAAACACACAAAUGCAGUUUCUUUUGUCAUUAGCCCAGUGCUUUUCCCUUGGAGUAGAUACAGUAGAUGCUGAUUUUUGCCUUCAUCAGCAAAAGUCUUUACCCCAGACACAUAACUGGAGAUCAGUCAUAGAACAGAGAGCACUAAUGUAGAAGGGCACAGGUCCCUUUGAUUACUGAACACUCAGGUCACUCGGAAGAGUGGAAGCCUCAUCAGAAACCUUCGGGUUUGACAGGACAUCUGUUUCCAGGAGCACGGUGGGUGUAAACAGAGCAGCUGCCAGCCUCUGUCCUGGUUGGGGUUUUGUGUUUGCUGGUUUUUCUUUUUUUUUUUUUUUAAACACAUUAUACUCUAUUAAAACCACCCCUAUUUGGCAUCAAAAGCAUUAAUAAAUCCCACAUAAGGCACAGUCCCUCCAGUGGUUAAUCAAUCCAUAAAAAUCUAUUUAGCACCUACUGUGUGUCCAGCAUUUCAAUCCCAUGACGUUGAUUAAAGCAGGAAGUAAGGAGUCACAGCUGCCAAAUUUUCACCAUGGCCACCGUGCUCUGUGAUGUGUCACAAAGGCAUUUGCCAAUCAUGCAAUCAACCAUUUACUGAGAACCUGCUUUGUUGCUCAACUCUGUGCUGGCGACUCUCAGGAAGACAGGGAAGCUUGACUACAUUUCCCAGCGUCCUUUGGAGUGAGACUACAUCUCCCAGCAUCCUGGCAGUUAGACAAUUUUCUAGUCUCCUUUGCAGGGAUCUUGGAAGCCCCAUGUUGAAGGUGGCAGAGCAACAAAAAUUGAGGAAACCCUGAAUCCCUGAAUUACUAUUUGGAGAUGACCACCCACUAAUUCGGAACACUCAUUAUUGGGCUUUAGGAGAAUGAGAAGUUCUAUCAUGUUUGAGACUCCGUACAUCUUUGGAUUUGUUUUAACAGCUAGUUUUACCCUGGCUAACAUGGCAAUUGACAGCCUCUGAGAGGAGAUUUGGAGAAUCUGCUUUUUUAACAAGUACUCCAGGGGAGUUUGAGAAUCACUGCUGAAAGCCAAGGGGAGCCAGCCACCCAAGGAUUUAACGCUGACCAAGGAACACCACGCUAUUUGCAUUUUAGAAUGACAGCAAGGGAGCAGAACUCUGCCCCCUUCUUGUCUGCCAAGGAGAACAAUCUACUGACUCAAAAGAAAAAGAAAACUUUGGUAAGAGAAAAUUGAAGCUCUAGAUGAGUGAAAAGAUUCUAACAGCACCAAGCUGCCGUAAAUGAGCUCAAGUCUCCUGGCCAGGACAAAUUACACUCCAGGGAGUAGAGAGAACUCGCCUCUGAAGCUGUAAAGCCUCUGCUGAUAAUCUUUACAGAACAUGGAGACUGUGAAAGAAAUUGGAACGCUAGAAAUGGCAAAAUAUAGCUCUGAUUAGUAAAGAGGGGGAAAGCUUCUGCAAACUACAAAAGUGGGGCUAUCCUAUCCAUCCUCAUUAAAUUCCCUGAUCAGACUACUUAAGGCUGAGCUGUGAGUACGUGAAAAAUGGAGCAGAAUCCUCUAGAAGCCUGUGUGGGUUCUUUAAGAGCAAGCCACGACAAGAUGAAAAAACAAGAGCCUAAAGAAGGGAGGCAACUUUUCCAAAGCCACACAUUAAACCUGUGGCAGUUAAGAGCCAGAACUGUGGUAUCCUGGCCCUCAGCCCCACACCUCUACUGCAAUACCUGGGAUGUGGGCCCAUGGAUUGAUUUAUGGAUUUUGACUAACAUAUCUUCAAUUGAGCAAUCACUCGGAUGAUCGAUUGAACACUCCUUCACCAAACAAGGCUGGAGGCCUGGGAUGGACGCCGGUGGUUUGAGAUAUGCAGAAGAAAUGGGUCCUGCCCUCCGGAACACUCCAGAGAAUAUCAUGGCACUUUAUAACAUCAGUGUCAAUCAGCAUUGAUUGACAAGCCCCCUGGACUUUGGAUGACUUCUCUGAAGCCCCAGCUGUGCCUGGCUGGGCCAUCUCCCUUCUCCACUUGGCCACAGCAUAAACUGCAGUCAAGCCACAGGAGUGACCUCAAGGCCUCAGGCCACUUUUCCAGCCUCAGCUUUUCUUAGGGGCCCAGCCCACUUACAAUAGAAAUUUGCCAAAGACUGGGUUGGUAAGUAAUGGAUAAGUUUUCAUAUUUACUAUUUUCAUUUCUGAAUCUCUCUUUACAUGCAGUUAAGCCAGGAAAUCCUGAAAGAACACUCUUCAGAAUGUUUUUAAGUAAAACAACAAGUUUCUGUUAAUUUAGGGCCAACCCAUGAGUAAACAGAUAGAGCCUGAGGUAUUCUGCACCCUGUAAUUUGUGGACUUCUUAGGAUCUUUUAAAAUAAAGAUGAAUAGUGGG